GAUGAACGCUGGCGGCGUGCCUAAUACAUGCAAGUCGAGCGAAAAGAUGAGGAGCUUGCUCCUCUGACGUUAGCGGCGGACGGGUGAGUAACACGUGGAUAACCUACCUAUAAGACUGGGAUAACUUCGGGAAACCGGAGCUAAUACCGGAUAAUCUAUUGAACCGCAUGGUUCAAUAGUGAAAGACGGUUUUGCUGUCACUUAUAGAUGGAUCCGCGCCGCAUUAGCUAGUUGGUAAGGUAACGGCUUACCACGGCAACGAUGCGUAGCCGACCUGAGAGGGUGAUAGGCGACACGGGAACUGGGACAGGGACCAGGCGCCUACGGGAGGGAGCAGUAGGGAAUCGUCCGCAAUGGGCGAAAGCCUGACGGAGCAACGCCGCGUGAGUGAUGAAGGUCUUCGGAUCGGAAAACUCUGUUAUGAGUGAAGAACAAAUGUGUAAGUAACUAUGCACGUCGUGACGGUACCUAAUCAGAAAGCCACGGCUAACUACGUG
This 497-nucleotide ribosomal RNA is filed under the name uncultured bacterium. Its description in RNAcentral is "partial 16S ribosomal RNA". It matches the Rfam family "Bacterial small subunit ribosomal RNA", at positions 28 to 507 of the family's 1533-position model. The record is from RNAcentral.